RNAcentral lists this transfer RNA (89 nucleotides) under Bacteroidota bacterium. Its description in RNAcentral is "Bacteroidetes bacterium tRNA-Leu". It matches the Rfam family "tRNA". From Rfam's summary of the family: Transfer RNA (tRNA) molecules are approximately 80 nucleotides in length. Their secondary structure includes four short double-helical elements and three loops (D, anti-codon, and T loops). Lineage: Bacteria; Pseudomonadati; Bacteroidota. The record is from RNAcentral.
GGGAGCGUGGCGGAAUCGGUAGACGCACCGGACUUAAAAUCCGUUGGCAUUACAAGGCUGUGAGGGUUCAAGUCCCUCCGCUCCCAUCA